Molecule: transfer RNA, 77 nt
Filed under: Candidatus Bathyarchaeota archaeon
Lineage: Archaea; Thermoproteati; Candidatus Bathyarchaeota
Description: tRNA-Thr
Rfam family: tRNA
About the family: Transfer RNA (tRNA) molecules are approximately 80 nucleotides in length. Their secondary structure includes four short double-helical elements and three loops (D, anti-codon, and T loops).
Source: RNAcentral
GGGCCCGUAGCUCAGCAAGGCAGAGCGGCGGACUGGUCAUCCGUAGGUCAGGGGUUCAAUUCCCCUCGGGCCCGCCA